CAAUAGCGUAUAUUAAAGUUGUUGCAGUUAAAAAGCUCGUAGUUGGAUUUCUGAUCGAGACAUCAGGUCGGGUCCGAGAGGAUCAUGUACUUUGAUUUGUUUUGAUCAUCCUUGGGGAGAGCAUUUCUGGCAUUCAGUUGUCGGGAUUGGGAUCCUCAUCGUUUACUGUGAAAAAAUUAGAGUGUUCAAAGCAGGCCUCGGCCUCUGAAUACAUUAGCAUGGAAUAACAAGAUAGGACUUUGGUGGUCUAUUUUGUUGGUUUGCACGCCAAAGUAAUGAUUAAUAGGGAUAGUUGGGGGUAUUCGUAUUCAAUUGUCAGAGGUGAAAUUCUUGGAUUUAUGGAAGACGAACUACUGCGAAAGCAUUUACCAAGGAUGUUUUCAUUAA
This 387-nucleotide ribosomal RNA is filed under the name uncultured eukaryote. RNAcentral's name for it is "partial 18S ribosomal RNA". It matches the Rfam family "Eukaryotic small subunit ribosomal RNA", at positions 592 to 976 of the family's 1831-position model. The record is from RNAcentral.